UCCAAGAAAAUUCUCUGGUGUCUUAUAUAUUUUUCCAGAAACGGAAAAAAUCGCUGUAAUGAUAGUCAAUUAAUAAAUUAAUAGAAAUCUAACAUUUGAUGAUUUUCUAGUCACGGCCCAGCCUCAACCUGACCGAAAACACAGGAUAACCCUGAUCUGACAUUGCGAAGAAUAAGCGUACAAGAAAUAUUCUCAACAGGAAACAGGUUCUGCAUACUAACCCACGUGGGUCUACUGAAGGUAAUUGGAUGGUACUCUAAAUAGCAACAUAAUAUUACUACUAGUACUUGUACUUUAAGUGUAGUACAAUAAACCACACCUACCUUUGCACGGAAAGAUUAUUCAGACGUGAUAAUUGAAGACUAGAUAUCUUAUUAUGAAUCAGAGGAUACCUACGGUUCAAAACGUUAAAGAACAAGUAUCUUUAAAUAGUUUAUUUUCAACAGAAUUACUUGUUUGAAAAAAAGAAAAAAGAUUUUACUUGUACGCUCAAUUGAUCAUAACUCCAAAGUACUCAGUGUAAUGGGAUAUUAAAUAAAAAUAUUGCUACCAUACUCUUCAGAUUUAUUAAAUGUCAUAAAAAAUAAUGAGCUGCUGAAUUAGAUUUUAUACUUAUUAGUACGCUGAGAAAAAAAUGUAGCGCUCCGAGCGAUGCCGUUGA
Microplitis mediator is the source of this 661-nucleotide long non-coding RNA. RefSeq lists it as uncharacterized. The record is from RefSeq and is a predicted model, not a curated record. The transcript has 3 exons. NCBI's taxonomy places the organism in Eukaryota, Metazoa, Arthropoda, Insecta, Hymenoptera, Braconidae.